CGCCAGGUGCGCCGGGGACUUAGGCAGUGCCGCGCCGAAUGGCCCGCGCCGGUUUCCAAGGUGAAGGAGGAGGAGCCUCUGAGGAAAAGUUUCCACAGAAACUUGAGCUGGGCGCAGAGAAGCACUCGCGCCCUUGGGGGCUAACGUUUGGCCGGAGCUACACACUCUUUACUCACGCACGCACACCGCCGUACACAGCACAAUCGUUCACCGUCCCGCCAAAGGCUCGUCUCUCGGGUUCUGCCUAGUGGAAGGAGUCGGACAACGCCGCACGUCACGGGCGUUUCGGAUUUCUUGCUUCCCAAAGGUUUGACGGCGGCCACCGGCGCCCCGGCCCAGCUCUGCUUUCCUUUGCUGACUCCUUCCUUGAGGUGUGAAUUUUAAAAUGCUGAUACCGCCCCAAGAGAGCUGAGUCAAGUGAGCUGUCUACCACCACUGCUGCGCUUGUGGAUGACUGCAGGAACACCGGGUACUUGCCACAAGUAUCUCUCCAGAUUCAUCAGCCUUUCACCUGUGACAAGCUCAGUCAAGAAGUGGCUCCUAAGUAAAAGCUGGGGAAGAACAAGGAAGAUAGAGCUCAGAGUAGAAAGCUGUGAAGUUCUGCACAACAGGUCCCCUUGGCCUGCUCUAACAGUUGGAAGACAGGCAUGGUAGCUCAUGUGGAAGCUUCCCGAGGCCCUCACCCAGAAGCAGAUGCUGGAGCCAUGCUUGUACAGCUUGCAGAACUAGCAACUUGUAUCGUAGGAAUCAUCAGGCAAUAAGAUGCAGGGAAAACUCUGGAUACUGCAUACCCAAAGUUGAAUAUAUUUUUCUUCUUUUUGAAACUUUUAAUACACAUAAAGACAAGUGCACGUAUUAUAAGUAUAUAGUUCAGUUUAUUUCGACAACCUGAAUAAACCCAUGUAAUCAGCACCCAGAUCAGGAAACAGAAUCUGGAAGCUUCCUUGUGUCCCCUUCCA
RNAcentral lists this long non-coding RNA (959 nucleotides) under Pan troglodytes (chimpanzee). Its description in RNAcentral is "long non-coding RNA NONPTRT013274". The record is from RNAcentral. Lineage: Eukaryota; Metazoa; Chordata; Mammalia; Primates; Hominidae.